AAUAUCCCAAAUUUUCCGGAUA
Molecule: small nuclear RNA, 22 nt
Filed under: Arabidopsis thaliana (thale cress)
Lineage: Eukaryota; Viridiplantae; Streptophyta; Magnoliopsida; Brassicales; Brassicaceae
Description: snRNA_06708
Source: RNAcentral